Molecule: ribosomal RNA, 484 nt
Filed under: uncultured bacterium
Lineage: Bacteria
Description: partial 16S ribosomal RNA
Rfam family: Bacterial small subunit ribosomal RNA
Source: RNAcentral
AUUGAACGCUGGCGGCAGGCCUAACACAUGCAAGUCGAGCGGAUGAAGGGAGCUUGCUCCUGGAUUCAGCGGCGGACGGGUGAGUAAUGCCUAGGAAUCUGCCUGGUAGUGGGGGAUAACGUCCGGAAACGGGCGCUAAUACCGCAUACGUCCUGAGGGAGAAAGUGGGGGAUCUUCGGACCUCACGCUAUCAGAUGAGCCUAGGUCGGAUUAGCUAGUUGGUGGGGUAAAGGCCUACCAAGGCGACGAUCCGUAACUGGUCUGAGAGGAUGAUCAGUCACACUGGAACUGAGACACGGUCCAGAAUCCUACGGGAGGCAGCAGUGGGGAAUAUUGGACAAUGGGCGAAAGCCUGAUCCAGCCAUGCCGCGUGUGUGAAGAAGGUCUUCGGAUUGUAAAGCACUUUAAGUUGGGAGGAAGGGCAGUAAGUUAAUACCUUGCUGUUUUGACGUUACCAACAGAAUAAGCACCGGCUAAAUUCGUG